This 433-nucleotide ribosomal RNA is filed under the name uncultured bacterium. Its description in RNAcentral is "partial 16S ribosomal RNA". It matches the Rfam family "Bacterial small subunit ribosomal RNA", at positions 29 to 507 of the family's 1533-position model. The record is from RNAcentral.
GCGAACGCUGGCGGCAGGCCUCACACAUGCAAGUCGAACGAACCUUUCGGGGUUAGUGGCGGACGGGUGAGUAACACGUGGGAACGUGCCUUUAGGUUCGGAAUAACUCAGGGAAACUUGUGCUAAUACCGAAUGUGCCCUUCGGGGGAAAGAUCUAUCGCCUUUAGAGCGGCCCGCGUCUGAUUAGCUAGUUGGUUGAGGUAAUGGCUCACCAAGGCGACGAUCAGUAGCUGGUCUGAGAGGAUGAUCAGCCACAUUGGGACUGAGACACGGCCCAAACUCCUACGGGAGGCAGCAGUGGGGAAUCUUGCGCAAUGGGCGAAAGCCUGACGCAGCCAUGCCGCGUGAAUGAUGAAGGUCUUAGGAUUGUAAAAUUCUUUCACCGGGGACGAUAAUGACGGUACCCGGAGAAGAAGCCCCGGCUAACUUCGUG